Molecule: ribosomal RNA, 492 nt
Filed under: uncultured bacterium
Lineage: Bacteria
Description: partial 16S ribosomal RNA
Rfam family: Bacterial small subunit ribosomal RNA
Source: RNAcentral
AGUGAACGCUGGCGGUAGGCCUAACACAUGCAAGUCGAACGGCAGCACAGUAAGAGCUUGCUCUUACGGGUGGCGAGUGGCGGACGGGUGAGGAAUACAUCGGAAUCUACUUUUUCGUGGGGGAUAACGUAGGGAAACUUACGCUAAUACCGCAUACGGCCUACGGGUGAAAGCAGGGGAUCUUCGGACCUUGCGCGAUUGAAUGAGCCGAUGUCGGAUUAGCUAGUUGGCGGGGUAAAGGCCCACCAAGGCGACGAUCCGUAGCUGGUCUGAGAGGAUGAGCAGCCACACUGGAACUGAGACACGGUCCAGACUCCUACGGGAGGCAGCAGUGGGGAAUAUUGGACAAUGGGCGCAAGCCUGAUCCAGCCAUACCGCGUGGGUGAAGAAGGCCUUCGGGUUGUAAAGCCCUUUUGUUGGGAAAGAAAAGCAGCAGGUUAAUACCCCGCUGUUCUGACGGUACCCAAAGAAUAAGCACCGGCUAACUUCGUG